GGGGAUGUAGCUCAGUGGUGCAGCAUCUGCCUGGCAAGCAAAAGGCCUUGAGUUCAAUUCCCAGUAUUCUGC
This 72-nucleotide transfer RNA is filed under the name Fukomys damarensis (Damara mole-rat). It matches the Rfam family "tRNA". From Rfam's summary of the family: Transfer RNA (tRNA) molecules are approximately 80 nucleotides in length. Their secondary structure includes four short double-helical elements and three loops (D, anti-codon, and T loops). Lineage: Eukaryota; Metazoa; Chordata; Mammalia; Rodentia; Bathyergidae. The record is from Rfam by way of RNAcentral.